Molecule: long non-coding RNA, 209 nt
Filed under: Lathyrus oleraceus (garden pea)
Lineage: Eukaryota; Viridiplantae; Streptophyta; Magnoliopsida; Fabales; Fabaceae
Description: Pisum sativum (pea) long non-coding RNA (PSAT_LNC028351)
Source: RNAcentral
UUAUUUUGCCUUUGGAUCCUCACCGACUGCAAGUAAAUUUCAGUAGAAAAACUGCAUCAUGCUCAAAUUCUAGUCGGAAAGGAGUUUCCUUAGUUGCUUCCUUAGGGUAAGUUCAACAAACCCAUGGAGAUUGAUUUAGUGUUUUGUGCCAAUUUCUAGGUUUUUGGCCUACAUGUUUUUUAAUUAAACUGAUUAUUAUUUUGUUUGCC